AAAAACAAUGCAGUUUAUACUGGAAAAGCGAGGAGGAUGCAGGAGCUGGAGGAGCCAUGGCUGGUUUAGCCGGUGACUCCGAGACACAUCCUUAUGUCUCCUUCACGAUCAACCUUGCUUAGAAUUGAUGAGAGAUGCUUUAUGCUUCUUCUGCAUCUCACACUUAUAUUUGUUUAUGUCUUACGUGAAAACAAGAGUCAUUCAUUAUAUCGCUAGCUUAUUAGCAAGUGAAACCAGUUUCUUAUUCUGUUAAUCUCAUGUAUAUAUUUCUCUACGCUUGACAUUCUUGAUUGUUAUCCUCUGAUGUAUUACUCAUGAUAGAUAGUUUCAGGAUUUAUCAGAUUUUCACAAAAUUUGAUAGGAAUGUUAAUUUUAUCCCCAAAAAACUGUUAUAUUUACUGUAUAGAAAGGGGGGCGAGUGAUGAUUUCACCUCUCUUGACCCAUCAUAUGCUACAAUGGCUGCCAUGUGAAGGCCACGUCUCUCUCUUUAUCUCAUCACUUUUUAGUAAUCAUCUCCAUUUUCACCAUCGACCCAAAAUUUCACCAGCUAUAAGUGGUUUUAGUUGACUCAGAUAAUGCUUUAUAUUAUUGGAUUUUGCUGUUCAACCAACCUCCGUUUCACCUUUAGUUAAUGCGGGUAAAUUAUCUGGUAAAUUUCGGUGUGGAUGUGACAUACACCUCACCCUCCUGAUUUUAUAAUCCUAAGAUUUUAUCUUUUUUCUGGUUCAAUUACACAUGCAUGUUUUUUUCCAACAAAUACAGACUAUAUAGACCUUGCAUACAUACAUAUAUAAUAUUUUAAGUAACUUUUGAAUAAUUUCUUCUUCUAGAACUCUUAUCUUAAAGUUAUAAAAAAUAACUCUUUAUCUCAUUUAUAUUUUCUCAACUUUUUGUUGGUUCAUGAGAUUCCUUUCUCCUUUUAUCCUAUGAAGCCGAAGGCUAAAUUCGAAGGCCCAAAAAGCAGAGACUCAUGAUGACGCAUGUCUCAAUUAUUCAUACACAUACAAACAACAUUACACGCAUUUCACCACCAUACCAACCACACAUAUCAUAUCAUAUACACAUCGGCUUAAAUAAAUAUGUAUGAAUCUUCAAUAUGAGAUUCGGAAAGGAACCCUUUUCAGUUCUCAUUGUCACUCCCUAGUGGUCCAGUUCUUUGUUUUUUUAUUAGUGGCAUCAAAAACAUAAGAGAUAUGAUGAUAUUCUCCUGACAAAAAAAAUCUGUAACUCAUAUAUUUGAACUAUACGAAUCUAUGGAGAACAUCUUAACCUUUCAGAGAUAUUCGCUGCGACAAACAUAGAUGUAGUUGAGUAGCUUUAGCUUACAAAAUAAAGCGUACAAAGGACCCUCACAAGUUCAAAGGAAUCACAAACUAAGAAAGCUCUAAAUACCACACACACUUGUGGUAAAAAAAGAAGAAGAAAGCUCCACAUACCAAUCAUAGAACAACUUUAACAUCCCCUUAUAAAAUUAUAAUCCAAUGGGUUGUAUUUAGUCCCUUCACUAAGGUUAAAUACAUAAGGACUAGUAUGAGAAAUAAAAGUUUGCAUCUUUACUCACCAUCGGCAUCAAAAGAAGAGCAUUGCCAAUAUAAUGUCAGUUUCUUCAACUAGUUUAGCUUGCUCACUGACCCUUACUACGAGUCUACGACUUGGGUUGCAUUGCACUCAACCAAAAGGAACACGAGAACACGAGCUAGUUUAUUCAAAGACUUACUUAGACGCUGCAUCACUAUCUAAUUCAAGAAUGUUUACUUCAAUGCAUGAUGUCACUGAUCAUUAAGUCUAAUCUCAUUUCUCAGAAAAAAAAAAGGCUCAUCUACGCAGCUUAAAACAAGACUUUCAAAGAUCAUUCACGACCUCCACUAGAGUAAACCCUUGUCACUGUACUACACAUCACAAACCUUAACUUCAAAAUCCUGACUCAAUACUAAUUUUCUCCAAUGUAAAGUCACAAGCAUACAAAGGAGCGAACUUUAGGCUCUCACAUAAUCGAGAAAAGAUGAGAAAUUUAUGCAUCAAACGUAGAUAGCGAGGCACACAAUGAGUUGGAAUUGCAAUGACAUGAUAGAUAUAUAUAUUGGCUCACUUUGGUCCAAGCGUUGAACGUGACACAAACUCUCUUAAGAAUCAAAGGAACUACAUCUUGAUUUCUUGACACUAACCUUCAUUAUAGCUAAGGAGGGAGCUUUAAGCAUCGCUAUCGUCACUACUAUCAUCAUCAUCCUCGUGGUUUCCGCUACGGUCAUUGGAGAUGUAGACUCCAGGCUGGAUCGAUCGUCUCCUAGUCCUCGACGGAAGGAUAUUAUCCAAAUCCACCUCCGCCAAAGGAUCGUCAGACAAAUCGCUUUCAUCGUACUCAUCACCAUCUUCGUCGUCGUCGUCGUCAUCAUCGCUAUCGUCACUUUCAUCAACUUCGAUCAGUUUUCCUUUUCCUUUGUCCUCUCUCGAUAUGCCUUUACCUUUCCUGUCGAUCUCAACUUCAAUCGAAUCCUCUUCUUCUUCGUCUUCAUAUCCAACUCCAUCGCCUUGCUUCUCUUCCGCUGUAUGAUCGUCGGGCACGCCGUUCUCAUCUUUCUCAAGCGAAAUCGAUGAUUCUGUUCCAAUUUUCAGAUUCUCGACGCCGGACUCAGAAUCAGCAGAACUCGACGACGAAGGGUUAAGCUUCUGAGCCUUGUUCGCCACAUUAUCCUGCUCUUGGCAACAGAGAUCCGAUUUCCUCUUCGCUGGAAACGAGGAGUCCUGUUGAUUCUCAACGUCCGCCAUAGAUGAAUCGAUCGUCUUCUUCGCGCUACAGAGACUUGCGGUUGCUUCGAGGAAGAUUCAGAGUUAGUUAGGGUUUCUCGAUUACUUAUGCAACUUCUCUUCGGUUUUAAUUUAUUGAUUGGACUCAGCCCAUUAGCCCAUUAGCCCAUUAGCCCAGUUUCUGUUGUGCCAGGUGGAGAACGUGCCGGGGAGAUACUAAACCGGCGUAAUGCUAAUAUCUUACCGGUUUGGUUUUCUACUUGUGAGUUUAUAAUUCGAACCGGUUAUCCAUUAUGAUUGAAGAAGUACAGAUCCAUCGGAGAAGAAGAAGAGACAUUGAGAAACAAUGACUUCGAGGUAUUGGGUGGUGUCUCUACCAGUGAAGGACUCUUCUUCCACGUUAUGGAAUCGUCUCCAGGAGCAGAUCUCCAAGCAUUCCUUCGAUACUCCAGUUUAUCGGGUACUCAGAUUCUGCUCGAUUUGGAUUGAAAUUGGCAGAGAUCUUCAACUAUUCUCGUGUUUGUGAUCUAACUUCUCGGAUUGCUGUUUUCAUUUUCGCAGUUCAACAUUCCUAACCUUCGAGUUGGAACGUUAGAUUCUCUGCUCGCCCUCGGCGAUGAUCUGCUCAAGGUGACUCAUCUGAUCACAAAUUUUGAUCUUUUGCGUUUUCCUUGUAUUGAUGAUUUUUUAAUGAGAUGUGUGCCAGUCAAACAGCUUUGUGGAAGGAGUUUCGCAGAAGAUCAGGAGACAGAUCGAGGAAUUGGAGAGGAUCUCUGGUGUGGAGAGCAACGCUCUUACUGUUGAUGGAGUUCCCGUUGAUUCUUAUCUCACAAGGUAUCUGUUUUUUUUUUUUUUUAUAUUCACAAAGAGUUGAUUGGUGAUUUGGUGGUGACUUGUGAUGUAAAGAACGAAACCUUUUUUUUUUGAUUGGUGUUAAGGUUUGUCUGGGAUGAAGCUAAGUACCCAACGAUGUCACCUUUGAAGGAGGUUGUGGAGAAUAUUCAGUCUCAGGUUGCCAAGAUUGAGGAUGAUCUCAAGGUCUUCACGCUGUUAAACCUUUACGCAGAAUGAUUAGUUAGCCGAAUGGUUCCGUUGGUGUAAUACUCUACACAAUACUUUCUUUGUGAAGAGUAGUUGGUAGUUUUAGUUUUUGAUUAUAAACUUAUUUUGGUGCUCUAAUGGAUUUCAGUGGUUCACAUGUUGUUUAGGUUCGCGUUGCUGAAUAUAACAAUGUCCGCGGUCAACUCAAUGCCAUUAACCGAAAGCAAAGUGGAAGGUAAACUUUUGUUUUCUUUCUCUUAUCCAUACUGUAAGAACUAAGAACAAACUAUAAAUCAUGGGCAGUAGUUUGUAACUACAAAAAAUUUAAUUGCUCUCUACGAUCUAGGUUCUGUUUGAAACAUGUUCGACAAUGUGAAGGGUUUAGCAUAACACCAAGUGAUUUUCCAGAUUAAUGCUGUUGGUUGUUAUCUGCUUGGAUGUUUUAUAUAUUUUGUAGCAAUGUGGCUGAUCUUCCUCCAAUUUCUUUUGUUACAGCUUAGCUGUUCGCGACCUCUCAAGCUUGGUUAAGCCAGAAGAUAUUGUCGCAUCUGAACAUCUCGAGACUCUUCUUGCAGUUGUUCCAAAGUAUUCCCAAAAAUACUGGCUAGCAUGUUAUGAGACAUUGACCGACUUUGUGGUAAAUUAAUGAUUUGCUGAGUUUAUGGACCAAAUGUGACACUAUUAUUUUUGACACAGGGAUUUUAAUCAGUUCACUCUUAUUCUUUCCAGGUUCCUAGGUCUUCGAAGAAAUUGUUUGAGGAUAAUGAGUAUGCUCUUUACACCGUCACUCUCUUUACUCGUGUUGCAGACAAUUUCAGGACAAAUGCACGUGAGAAAGGGUUCCAAGUGAGUAUGCUGUUCAAGAUUCUGAUAUCACCUCUAGAGCUUUCUUAGAAACUAUAUUAGUAGUAGUGAUAUUCCUUAGAACUGCCUUUAUUCACUGUGAAAGUUAAGACAUUUGGUUGAUUCUCAAAGCUUUGCUCAUCAUAUGUUGUACACCGUUUUCUUUUAGGUUCGUGAUUUUGAACAUAGCGUUGAAGCACAAGAGACUCGUAAACAAGAGCUAGAAAAGCUGGUUCAGGACCAGGAGAGUUUGAGAAGCUCUCUUUUGCAGUGGUGCUACACCAGUUAUGGAGAGGUAUUUACACAUUGCUCUUAUAUAUCAUCGUAGAAAUCUAACACCCAUCUGAUCAUCGGUCUAUAUGUGUAGGUUUUCAGCUCAUGGAUGCAUUUCUGUGCUGUGCGUAUAUUCGCUGAGAGCAUAAUGAGAUAUGGUUUACCUCCAGCUUUCUUGGUAACUUUAAAGACUCCAACCUAACUUAUGUUUUUUCUAGAGAAUCCCUCUAACUCCCUGACCACACGACUUUCUCUUGUUAUGACUUAUUUUCCAGGCAUGUGUCCUAUCUCCGGCUGUUAAAAGCGAGAAGAAAGUACGCUCCAUUCUUGAACGCUUGUGCGAUUCUACCAACAGGUGUGUUAUAAGUCUCUGUCUUUGUAUCGCUCUAGGCAUAAAAACUGGUUAGCGUUGGAGUUAUGAUCUUUGUAACAUAGAAAUUGCAGAACUUUGAGGAGAAAAAAUUAUUUAGUUAUGAAAGAUCAUUUGCCCACAAGAUAUAAGUGUUAGUUCAUCUCUAUAUGUAAAUAGUUUGAUGAGAUUUAGAUUCGAGUGUUUGAGUCUGAUUGUAUGAAAAAAACAAUGCAGUUUAUACUGGAAAAGCGAGGAGGAUGCAGGAGCUGGAGGAGCCAUGGCUGGUUUAGCCGGUGACUCCGAGACACAUCCUUAUGUCUCCUUCACGAUCAACCUUGCUUAGAAUUGAUGAGAGAUGCUUUAUGCUUCUUCUGCAUCUCACACUUAUAUUUGUUUAUGUUCUAUAUAUAUAUAUUCCAUUUUAUUAUUCGUGAUAAUUUUUCGAAAUAAAAGAAAUAAAUAUGAAGGUGGCACUCAAGAGAG
Molecule: long non-coding RNA, 5738 nt
Filed under: Brassica napus (rape)
Lineage: Eukaryota; Viridiplantae; Streptophyta; Magnoliopsida; Brassicales; Brassicaceae
Description: long non-coding RNA (BNAP_LNC025638)
Source: RNAcentral